This is a long non-coding RNA of Equus caballus (horse), 6088 nucleotides long. RefSeq lists it as uncharacterized. NCBI's taxonomy places the organism in Eukaryota, Metazoa, Chordata, Mammalia, Perissodactyla, Equidae. The record is from RefSeq and is a predicted model, not a curated record.
CUUUAAGAUGAGAACAUGUCGGAAUUGAAUAUAUCUGCAUUUGGGCUAUUAAAGCAAAUGAGAUGAACUUUUAAUGGGAAACUGAGCCUUUUCCUCGAAUAUUCAGGAUAAAAACAUACCGUCCUGAGGAUGGGCUCAUUUUCUCAUAUCUCUAACUAGUGAGUCUGGGACAUAUAAAUGAAAAAAAAAAAGUCUUCAGAAAAAUUCCCUUACACUACUCAUAACAAAAAAAGCCAAGACAUGAAUGUUCUGCUUCUUAGAUAUUACAGCAAACUAUUAGAAUCAUAAUUUUCUAAUACUUUAGGAGGUGAACACAUCCUCUCACUAUGAACUCAUAAGUCUACUAUAUAAAUAAUUUACUCUGGCAGCUUAUGUAUGAUUCAGACUGUAAUAUUUAUAAAAGAAUGCUGCAAUUUUCUUCUUACAAAAAACUUAAUAAAAAAUAAAUUAUUGUUAGAUAAACCCCAAAGCAAAAUACCUAUUUGCCUUUUAGAACAUUACAUGAAUAUCUGAUAGACACAUGUAUGUCAUAAUUAAACACGACACAAAACAAUAUUGCCAAGUUGUCUGUUAGUUGAGCAUAGCACAUUCAAUGUAACCACUUUAGAUGAGAGCUCAUAUCUAUGUCUCUACAGCACUGAGAGUGGAGUGCCAGGCACAGGGGUAAGUGUGAAAUGUGCAAAUGGAAUUAGAACACGUUGCUUCCAGACUUUUCCGAAUAUGUGCUGCUCUUUGUAGUUAAAGUCUUGGAUUGGGAAUUUGGUACCAAAAGAACCAGAAAUUCACAUUGGAAAAUAAGCUGAGUGAUAGGUGUAUGGUGUUUCCUUCCAAUUUGGAUGCUGCCUGCUGGCCUUUAUUUCUCUCCAAGAACGCUUUUCUAAUGGAGGAGAAAAUGCUAGAACAAUUCUAUGUGGACACAUCUAAAGCAGCACAAAAAGGAUUACGAUAGCCACACAAGCCUAAGGCUUGAGAUUUGUAUUUUCUUCAAAUAAUAUAACUUAGAUGUGCCAGUAAUUAGAUUCAUGACAGAACAAAAAGGAAGUCAUUUCUUAAAUGUAUGGAUGGUGUUGUAUGUAGAAUUUCUGCAGAAGAAUUAUUAAUUCAUCUGUACAUUGAGUUAUAUGACACAAUACUCCAAAUGUGUAAUUCCAUGGACCUGAGACCUAGCAUUCCAGUGUGGGCUUACGGAGAAUGGUGUCAUGGUAGAGUUUCUGACAGCUAAUGGGUACAUCAGAGCACAAAUGUCAUCCAACUGGGGCACUAAAGUCUUGCAUCAUGUAUGUAAGCAACAGCGUUGCAAUGUGUAGCCAGACAAAGGUAUUCGCAGAUCAAUAUAAAAUCAAAUGAAACCUCUAACUCUGGAUGAUAGGGUUUCCUGGUUGUACCAGAUACUUGAAUCAAUUUUGGGAGUAAGGAUUAAAGGAAGAGCAGUGUGGUAUCUUCAGCCACAUCAAAGGCUAUUCCAGAAUCCAGCUAGGUAUCCCAGUAAGCAAGUGGGCUGGGCCCCUUGGUGGGUCCACUUGCUUCUGGUGGGAGCUCUCAGACAGGUUUGGCUGAUUCACUUGACCGAGAGUGAUCCUAUGCUAUCAGGGUCCCCCGGAUUAGACGUGGACCUACAACAGAUUCCAAAGCCAGUCUGGGUGAGGGAGAACUUGCUUGUGCCCAUUGUGUCCGAAUCCCACUCUCCUAAAGUUUGAAAGCGGGGAUAGAGACACCUGCUUGGUGUUUUCACUUUGUUAAACCCAGGAAGCUCACAGCCAAGUGAACCUAUGACCUAACAGACCAGCCCACAGAGGGCAUCAAGGCUUCCUGUGGGCCACCCUAUUGCCUUACUACUUACUGUAAGCAGAUCCAUUCACUCCAAUUAAAGCUUCAAGUGAUUCCAGGAUGCCUUCCGCCACCCUGUUUCAUUUCCUUUGUCCUUCAUUGCUCAUCUCCCUGUUCAGAAGAUGGUUUCAGAUUUUAAGAGGAAAUGAUCUGUCUCCCAUUAUGAUGGGUCACUGGGUUAUGGCCUGGGGAAUAUUCUUAUCCCUUCUAGAAAUGGGUGCAUCUUUCCAGAAAGUGAACCUCACUGGGGACUGUUCUGUGACACUUACCCAUGUUUUCAAAGAUUCUAUUUAUAGCAUUUGCAGCUACUAUAGGUAGCCAUCUUCACUUCUCCUCAUACACUCUUCCAGAAAGGAUGACGGGCACAGGACACGAGAGCUGAGACAGUGUGUCUGCCAUCAGCAGCUAAUGAUUAGAUGAUGAAGAGAAUUCCUGCCAUUCCUGUCUCCAGGGCAACAGAGGGGGCCUGACCAUGUAGUAUUGACAUGACAUCAGGAGAGUUGCUACUGUAAUAAAGGCUUGUCCACGGAUUGUCCUUGCCCCGCCAUCCAGUGCUGUCACCUCAUUUCACAGGAAUGGCUGCAGCGCAACAGCAGUUACUCUCCAUUUCACCACACCGCUGCACGGCACAGCCACUUUGUAGUUGCCUGCCUGGCUGAGAAUAUUGGGCCCUAGCGUGAAUCAGGCAUGCAUUACUUUUCACAAGCAUUAACACAGCUGUUGAAGAAUAAGCCUGUUGCUUUAGAGAAGAUGGGUACUUUCCUGUUUCCAGCAUCCAACAUUCCAUUUCAUUUGAUCCUGGGAACUGCCACACUAGGCUAAUGGACAACACUGUGAAUAACGACUUAGUAUACUGGCUUCCAAAAAUCCUCAUGCAAGUGUCUGAUGUUCGAGUCUUCCUCAUUACAUCUCCCUUCUCUCCCUGGCUUCCCAAUAAGACUCACCACUGAGCUGCUGCAGCUCACCGCUCUGUGUACAGCACCUGAACAAUGAAUAUACAUUGGUGUGAGCUGGGUUUGAACCUCAUUCUUCUCUCUUCUAAUUUUGUGACCUUAGAUAAUUCAUUUCACCACUCCAUGUCGUCGUUUCCUUAUCUGUAAAGCGCAGAAAGCAAUAUCUUACGGAUGCUGUGAAGAUUAAAUAAGACGAUGCAAAGUGCUUGCCAGGGUGAUGAUAUUGGAACACGACAAUCUCUUUUGUCAUAUAUGAUCCAGUGACUAAACAAGUGGUAGCUGUUUAUGUACGCUGUUUCCUUCUUUGGGGUAUUUUGAAGUGACAUAGGGUCUACUAAUUGGGCCACAGUUUGAUGUCUAUUUAUUUGAACUUUUGACAGGCUUGAGGAAUUGGUCAGAAAAUAUUUUCAUGACUAGUCUGGGUGAUUUUUCGGUGGGAAAAGACACAGCAUUUUUGGCUUGAAUUGCAUGAUUGGCAUCUUUUGAAUGACAGCCCGUUCUUUCUCUUAACAUCCUAGGCCCAUGUGAAUAUGCAGAUGCUGUCUCUCCACAGUGUUCAUACAUUACAGCAGUGCCUCUCCUCUGCAUGCAUCGAAGUAUCAAACUUGUGAGCUGGGAACCUGAGAGCAGCACCUGCUUGUUCCAGGUCCCGUUUCUUCAUUUCUAACUACCGUGUGAGUUUGGAAUAAAUCAAAUGAUGGUCCGCAGACCAAAUCCAGCCUCUUUCUGUGGCCCAUGAGCUAAGAGUUGUUUUUACAUUUUUAAGUGAUUGAAACAAAAUCGGAAGAAGAAUAAUAUAUCAUGACUUGUGAAAAUUAUAUGAAACUCAAAUUUUGGCAUCCAUAAAUAAAAUUUUAUUGGAACACAGACAUUCAUUCAUUUAAGCGUCAUCUAUGGCUGAUUUCGGGCUAUGACAGCAGAGCUGAGAAGUUGCAACAGAGACUGUAUGGCCUAGGAAGUCUAAAAUAAUCGCUAUCUGGCCCCAAACAGAAAAAGUUUGCUGACCCCUGGAAUAAGUCACCAAAGCCUCUGUCUCCAUCUGCAAAGUAAAAACGACAAAAUCCUAUAAAAUGCCACAGCAAACUCAAUCAACAAUAAAUGUCACUAAUAACUGGCUUGCCACUUGUCAGGUGUUUCAGUUGGGGGAAUUACCUUCUUUAAACGUCAGUUUUGCCAUCUACAAAAUGAGGAAAAUAAUCCUACUUCUCUUGUAGAAUGAGAUAAUGCAUACAUGUUUCUGACACAAAGAAAGUGCACAAUAAAUAAUAAUUUUUAUUAUUUUAAAAUAAUUAUUAUUAUUCCUCAGAAACCAGUCCAUAUGCAAAGAGUUGAGACCAUUUGGAGAUUUCAGGAUCAUGGAAUUUUAGCCCCAAAUGAGCCUUAGCACGUCCCAGCUCUCUCUAGGAUUUCAGAGGAGCAGAUGCACAGAGGCGGCCCAGGGCGUUGGGCAAACCUUCCUUGGAGAGGAGGUAGCAGUCACACCCGGAAUCAAGAUUCCUGACUUCGCUGUGUUGACUCCUAGAAUUCAGUUCUCAGGAACCCUCCCACUCUGGUCUAUCUGUGGCUCUUCUACCCCAGAAUUCUGUUCUGAUGGUGCCUGAGGACCGGUCCUUUGCUUAAAUGAAAAUUUUUCUCCUAAAAGUUUCAAGUGGCAUGGCCCUUUUUCAAUGGGGCAGAUGUUCAUACUUAGACAUUAUCUGUAUAUCUGCAGCUUUGGAAGAUUUUGAGAUUCAUUCUCUCUCUUUCACACAUACACACACAGUCACACACAAACACUCACUAGUGUGCAAAGAGUGGCUCAGGGUGAAACGCUAUGUACUGUCUAAAGUAAGGAAAGGGCUUCAUGUACUGUAUUUCUCCUUGGCCUCCUGAUCACCUUAGGAUGAUUGGGUAGGGCCAGGCUGCUGCUUUUAUUCUGGGCUACUAACAGAUAGAAUGUGUCUGCAUUUUUCUAUGACCUUCAGCAUUUCACACACAUUUCACUGUUAAACUUGGAUGGUUCUAUGGUGUGAAAUGGUAGAGUUUGGGCAUACUUGUCAUUCUCAAUAUUCUCUUGUUCAAACAAAGGGAGAAAAUCAGCAAUGAUUGCCAAGAAAUAUGGAAAGUUGCCCAUCCAGGUGAGAGCUGAGGCCCCUCUCUGAGCUGAGCACAGGACAGCUCAGUAGUAAGCAAACUGCGGAAUGGCAGAAGUAGCCUGGAAUUGCUGUUAGAAUGUCCACUAUCUGUAUUUAUCCUCUGCCAAGCUUCAGCUAUUCAAGAGCCUCAGGUUUUGAAUGUAUUUAGGAUAUAAUCCUACUGUGAAGGGCAUUCGGAACAACUCACUCCUUUCAAGUUGCUCAAUCAGGCUUUGCCUCUUAUGGUUGCUCCAAAUGGAGCCAUUAGUGGUGUGAAGAGUUACAACACUUUCCGUGGUGUAAGCAUAAGCUUGACCCCCCUGAUGUGUUAGAAGUCGGUGGGCUUUUUCUAUCAAUUCUAAAUUAAAGUUAUGUUAAGAAUGAUGGGAAAACAGGAUUGGAACUGGAAAGCAAUGGCUAUUAGCAUGACUGAACAGUGUGACAUUGUCCUGCUGAAUCAGGAGAAAUUUCACAACUGGGAGCAACUCUGGGGUUUGCUCCUCUAGCUGACAAAAUGAGCCUUUUUCCCCCAGGAGGACUUCCCAGCAUAUUUGUAAUGCUUACAAAUUGCCACUUUCUAUCUUCUGUAUUCCUAAUAUUUUCCUUUUAAAAUUACCUCUGGGAGGCUCCUACUGGUUCUGUUUAAAGAGCAUUUCCUUCCCACCCUUAGGAGUUGAACAAAAGUAACAUCAAGUGCCCUUCCAAGUAUUUAUUUUUCAUUACUGUUAUGUAUGUAGCGCUCAGCAAUGGAAAUGAGACUGGUGUUCAAGCUACUAACAAAGAAAUUAAAAACUUGGAUUGAGUGGUGCCAUUCAUUUUCAGCAAUAGAGAUAUAAGAGCCAAAUGAGUGAAAUCAUGUGUCUAGGACCGCAAAUGCUCUGGAGCAUCACAGAUAUCCUUGUUUAAGUGAAUGCUGCCUGUCAAUGGAUUAACAUAUGAAGUCAACUGGUGAAAUAUGAACAGGAUGUUUUAAUGUAACACAGCAAACAGCAGGAGACUGCAACUAUCGGCAAUUGAAAAAUUACAAGUUAGGCUCAAGGUAUUUGUCCAAGGAGGCACAAUCUUCAUCUCAGAGAAACAGAUGAAAGCAUCACCCUAAUGAUCACAAGUUGUCAGGCCUGUAGAAGUUAAUACUAACCAAGAAACAAACAAACAAAAAAGCCAACCAGAAAAAAAAGAAGAAAAGAAAAGAAA